RNAcentral lists this transfer RNA (88 nucleotides) under Candidatus Liberibacter americanus str. Sao Paulo. Its description in RNAcentral is "tRNA-Ser (TGA) (tRNA-Ser-TGA-1-1)". It matches the Rfam family "tRNA". Rfam says of the family: Transfer RNA (tRNA) molecules are approximately 80 nucleotides in length. Their secondary structure includes four short double-helical elements and three loops (D, anti-codon, and T loops). RNAcentral also lists the same sequence under 1 other name. The record is from RNAcentral. Lineage: Bacteria; Pseudomonadati; Pseudomonadota; Alphaproteobacteria; Hyphomicrobiales; Rhizobiaceae.
GGAAGGAUGGCCGAGCGGUUUAAGGCACUGGUCUUGAAAACCAGAGAUGGGAAACUGUCCGUGGGUUCGAAUCCCACUCCUUCCGCCA